Long non-coding RNA from Callorhinchus milii (elephant shark), 730 nucleotides. RefSeq lists it as uncharacterized. Lineage: Eukaryota; Metazoa; Chordata; Chondrichthyes; Chimaeriformes; Callorhinchidae. The record is from RefSeq and is a predicted model, not a curated record. The transcript is spliced from 3 exons.
UAGACAGUUUGAAUUGUUAGACAAAAUUAAGGAGGAAUUCCAGAAGAAACUUUGCUAUGAAAUCAUCAAAAGGAUUUCCAUUAUACCUCAACAAAGUGCAAAGCUUAAAGAAGGCUGUGCAGAGACUGAAGAAGCCGACAUCUUUUUCCUGAUUGAUGAAUCAUCCAGUAUACAACCUGCUGACUUCAUUUACAUCAAAACAUUCAUGAAUGACAUAGUGAAGACAUUCCAUAUUGGACCAAAAAAGGUCCGGACUAGCGUUGCCAUGUAUGCAAUGCACCACGAACAGCAUUUACCGCCACUGAAUAUACCAGUGUCACAAAGGUGGAGUCGGCAAUUGGUCAAAUUACACAAGCUGGGGGAGAUACUUAUACAGGAAGAGCACUGAAGUACAUGAAAAAUCUCUUCAGUGAAGCAGAAAAAAGUCGCAACAGUAGAGUACGACGCUUCCUGAUCAUUGUUACAGAUGGAGAGGCACAUGAUAAUGUAAAGUAUCCUGCUGAAGAAUUAAGAAAAGAAGGAAUUGUUAUGUACGCUGUAGGUGUGGGUAAUAUAAACAUCACUCAACUAAACGAGAUUGGAGAUGCUCCCGAAAGAGUAUUCAACAUAACUAAUUUUGAUAUCCUGAAAGAUUUGAAACCCCAGAUCGUGCAGGACAUCUGUUCCAAAGAAGCCUGCAGUAAACUGGACAAGGCUGACAUCAUUUUCCUAAUUGAUGAAUCAGGAAGUA